This 226-nucleotide long non-coding RNA is filed under the name Pan troglodytes (chimpanzee). RNAcentral describes it as "long non-coding RNA NONPTRT011254". The record is from RNAcentral. Lineage: Eukaryota; Metazoa; Chordata; Mammalia; Primates; Hominidae.
GUCCGAGGUCCCUCACCCGGGAAAGGAAACGUAAGAAGAAUUGAAAAAUAAUUCACAGGGAAUGUGAUUCCCAUGAUGCGUUCACCUGUGUCCUGCUCAGAACACAUCCAGGAUCAUUUCAGCGCUGAUAGACUGUUCAAGGAGAUGCAGCCUAACUCAAGGAGGGUAUAACCACCCCUAAGAAAAAUUCGUCAUGCUCCUCCUCUUUCCUUCUCCAGUUUUGUUC